AUUGAACGCUGGCGGCGUGCCUAACACAUGCAAGUCGAGCGGUAACAGGUGUAGCAAUACAUGCUGACGAGCGGCGAACGGGUGAGUAAUGCUUUGGAAUCUUCCCAGUAGUGGGGAAUAACCAGUCGAAAGAUUGGCUAAUACCGCAUACGUCUGUAAAGGGAAAGCGGGGGCUCGUAAGACCUCGCGCUAUUGAAUGAGCCAAAGUCGGAUUAGCUAGUUGGUGGGGUAAUGGCCUACCAAGGCGACAAUCCGUAGCUGGUCUGAGAGGACGACCAGCCACAC
This 285-nucleotide ribosomal RNA is filed under the name uncultured bacterium. RNAcentral describes it as "partial 16S ribosomal RNA". It matches the Rfam family "Bacterial small subunit ribosomal RNA", at positions 30 to 313 of the family's 1533-position model. The record is from RNAcentral.